GCUAUUGCUUUGUCUUUAAUGGAAGCAUACUUGUUGAGUGUCCAACAUGAAAAAACCACUCUACGAAUACUUCAAUCAAAGCUCGGAUCAGAAGAUCUUCGGACACAGGAUUCUGCUGCCUGGCUGGAAUACUUCGAGUCCAAGGCACUAGAGCAGCAGGAAGCAGCACGCAAUGGUACUCCAAAGCCUUUCAGGUAGUCGAGGCCGUUCAGGUCGCGAGCUAAGAAAAGAUGGUCUUCUCAGCCUCUCAGUGGUGCUACGGUAUUGCAAGGGCUUGCAUUGCCAUGGAACUUUGAACAUCUUCAGA
This is a long non-coding RNA of Hordeum vulgare subsp. vulgare (domesticated barley), 307 nucleotides long. RefSeq lists it as uncharacterized. Lineage: Eukaryota; Viridiplantae; Streptophyta; Magnoliopsida; Poales; Poaceae. The record is from RefSeq and is a predicted model, not a curated record. The transcript is spliced from 3 exons.